AGCGAACGCUGGCGGCAGGCUUAACACAUGCAAGUCGAGCGCCCCGCAAGGGGAUCGGCAGACGGGAGAGUAACACGUGGGAACAUACCUUUUUGUUCGGAACAACUGAGGGAAACUUCAGCUACUACCGGAUAAGCCCUUACGGGGAAAGAUUUAUCGCCGAAAGAUUGGCCCGCGUCUGAUUAGCUAGUUUGUGAGGUAACUGCUCACCAAGGCGACGAUCAGUAUCUGGUCUGAGAGGAUGAUCAGCCUCACUGUGACUGAGACACGGCCCAGACUCCUACGGGAGGAAGCAGUGGGGAAUAUUGGAAAAUGGGGGAAACCCAGAUCCAGCCAUGCCGCGUGAGUGAUGAAGGCCUUAGGGUAGUAAAGCACUAUUGCCAGGGAAGAUAAUGACGGUACCGGGAGAAUAAGCCACGGCUAACUUCGUG
This 431-nucleotide ribosomal RNA is filed under the name uncultured bacterium. Its description in RNAcentral is "partial 16S ribosomal RNA". It matches the Rfam family "Bacterial small subunit ribosomal RNA", at positions 29 to 507 of the family's 1533-position model. The record is from RNAcentral.